RNAcentral lists this ribosomal RNA (292 nucleotides) under uncultured bacterium. RNAcentral's name for it is "partial 16S ribosomal RNA". The record is from RNAcentral.
GGACUACCAGGGUAUCUAAUCCUGUUUGCUCCCCACGCUUUCGCGCCUCAGCGUCAGUUACCGUCCAGAAAGCCGCCUUCGCCACUGGUGUUCCUCCUAAUAUCUACGCAUUUCACCGCUACACUAGGAAUUCCGCUUUCCUCUCCGGCACUCAAGAAAAACAGUUUCAAAUGCAGGUCCAGGGUUGAGCCCUGGAAUUUCACAUCUGACUUAUUCUCCCGCCUACACGCCCUUUACACCCAGUAAAUUCGGACAACGCUUGCCACCUACGUAUUACCGCGGCUGCUGGCAC